GACGAACGCUGGCGGCGUGCCUAAUACAUGCAAGUCGAACGAGAGCGACCGGUGCUUGCACUGGUCAAUCUAGUGGCGAACGGGUGAGUAACACGUGGGUAACCUGCCCAUCAGAGGGGGAUAACAUUCGGAAACGGAUGCUAAAACCGCAUAGGUUCUUGAGUCGCAUGACUGAAGAAGAAAAAGAGGCUUCGGCUUCUGCUGAUGGAUGGACCCGCGGUGCAUUAGCUAGUUGGUGAGGUAACGGCUCACCAAGGCCGUGAUGCAUAGCCGACCUGAGAGGGUGAUCGGCCACAUUGGGACUGAGACACGGCCCAAACUCCUACGGGAGGCAGCAGUAGGGAAUCUUCCGCAAUGGACGCAAGUCUGACGGAGCAACGCCGCGUGAGUGAAGAAGGAUUUCGGUUCGUAAAACUCUGUUGUUAGAGAAGAACAGCGCAUAGAGUAACUGUUAUGCGUGGGACGGUAUCUAACCA
RNAcentral lists this ribosomal RNA (476 nucleotides) under Granulicatella elegans. RNAcentral's name for it is "bacterial SSU rRNA". It matches the Rfam family "Bacterial small subunit ribosomal RNA", at positions 28 to 485 of the family's 1533-position model. Lineage: Bacteria; Bacillati; Bacillota; Bacilli; Lactobacillales; Carnobacteriaceae. The record is from RNAcentral.